UGAGCGGGAUUCGCUGAGGUCUGAAUGCAUAUGUGGUUAGAAUCCAGCUAGCUCGGGGAUCAUGACGUCAGACUUCCUCAUGAUGUUCAUUCACCGGCAGAGCCUUCAGC
This is a long non-coding RNA of Thalassophryne amazonica, 110 nucleotides long. RefSeq lists it as uncharacterized. Lineage: Eukaryota; Metazoa; Chordata; Actinopteri; Batrachoidiformes; Batrachoididae. The record is from RefSeq and is a predicted model, not a curated record. The transcript has 4 exons.